GAUGAACGCUGGCGGCGUGCCUAAUACAUGCAAGUCGAGCGAACGGACGAGAAGCUCGCUUCUCUGAUGUUAGCGGCGGACGGGUGAGUAACACGUGGAUAACCUACCUAUAAGACUGGGAUAACUUCGGGAAACCGUAGCUAAUACCGGAUAAUAUUUUGAACCGCAUGGUUCAAAAGUGAAAGACGGUCUUGCUGUCACUUAUAGAUGGAUCCGCGCUGCAUUAGCUAGUUGGUAAGGUAACGGCUUACCAAGGCAACGAUGCAUAGCCGACCUGAGAGGGUGAUCGGCCACACUGGAACUGAGACACGGUCCAGACUCCUACGGGAGGCAGCAGUAGGGAAUCUUCCGCAAAGGGCGAAAGCCUGACGGAGCAACGCCGCGUGAGUGAUGAAGGUCUUCGGAUCGUAAAACUCUGUUAUUAGGGAAGAACAUAUGUGUAAGUAACUGUGCACAUCUUGACGGUACCUAAUCAGAAAGCCACGGCUAACUACGUG
This 497-nucleotide ribosomal RNA is filed under the name uncultured bacterium. Its description in RNAcentral is "partial 16S ribosomal RNA". It matches the Rfam family "Bacterial small subunit ribosomal RNA", at positions 28 to 507 of the family's 1533-position model. The record is from RNAcentral.